CGGCGGAGGAGACGGUGCUCGACGUCCUCGCGGACGGGGGCGAGGAGGAGUGCCACUGGUCCGUGUCAUCGGUUAUCACCAAAGAGUCCCUUUUGGCCGCGCAGAGGGAGGAUCUGAGGAAGGUGAUG
Molecule: long non-coding RNA, 128 nt
Organism: Ananas comosus (pineapple)
Lineage: Eukaryota; Viridiplantae; Streptophyta; Magnoliopsida; Poales; Bromeliaceae
Exons: 3
Source: RefSeq, a predicted model, not a curated record